This 1315-nucleotide long non-coding RNA is filed under the name Homo sapiens (human). RNAcentral describes it as "long intergenic non-protein coding RNA 1630". Lineage: Eukaryota; Metazoa; Chordata; Mammalia; Primates; Hominidae. The record is from RNAcentral.
GGGGAAGCUGUGAUGGCAAUGAGAAGUCAACACACUGAGGAUGGAGAGAAAGAAGAUGAGUCUGGGAGAGAAAGAGAAUGAUUCUUCUGGCCGAGGGAAAGCAAGAAUAUCUGUUCCUGCAACUGCACUGAUUCUAGAAACACUCUCUAUUCGAACUCUCAUGAGUGUUCAUGGAUGCCUUUGAAAUUUGCCAAUAAUGAAAAAACUGAGGUAUAGGAUGAUACAACUGGGCCAGGCAUGGUGGCUCACAUCUGUAAUACCAGCACUUUGGGAGGCCAAGGGAGGAGGAUCACUUGAACCCAGGUGUUUGAGACCAGCCUGAGAAAAACAGGAAGAACUCAUCUCUACAAAAAAAUUAUCUAGUGCUGACCUGCUUGGUGAAUGCUGGGAUCUCUGGAAGAGGGAGGCAGACAUCACACACCAGCUGGCAAGUGGGAGCUGGCAUGCAACAUGCCCCAAUACCACUCCCCUCCUGCCAUCCCUAUCUCCUAAUGGUGCCUCCUUUUGGCCAAACCCACCUUUGGCUGGAGGGCAACAGAGCCCAUUGACGUGGUCCCCUUGCAUCUGCUACCUGGGGAGAAAAGCAGGAUGGACACUGAAUCUAGAGAAAUGAAGAAACCCAUCCAGAAGAAUACUGCUUCUUUAUGUUUUUGUAGAGCGGCCCAGCCCUUGGAAUGUGUUUCUGCCACGACAAGGAAUACAGGAGGAGUUGAACAGGAAACCUGCCUCCUAUCAGAUUCACCUGAGGACGUGGCCUGUGAGCUGGCACUGGCGGCAUGAGGAGCACUGGGCAUCUGACAGGGUUGUCACGAGCUCCCCAAACAAUAAAGCACUUUACGACAUAGGAGGCAUUAUUAUUAAGCUGUUUUCAGUCCCUGAUACCUGCAUGUUGUAGGACCAUGGUGCAUGAAGGAUUUUAAGGAGGCACUUUUGAAAUGUGAAAGGGACAUAGACUGUACAUCUGGAGCACAAAGGCAGGUUUAACCAGCUUUGUCCUGCUCGGCGCCAGUUGGAAGAGAGCAUCUGGCUUUGAAGUGUCUAAAGCCAGGCGUGACGCUGGAUUCUACAGCUGGUAUGUGUUUCCUUAGACUUUCUGAGGGAAAGAGAAAGGAGUGAGAAGGGAAUGUGGAACUAAUUCCCACAUUAAUUGAAGACAAUAAGGAGACAGCAGAAUACUUGCUUCAGUCAUGAGGCCCCUGGAACAGAAGAACUAUGUCACAUACCAAAGGACAGCAUAACCCACAAUAAGCCCCCACCUCAAAACCCACAGACUAUUACCCCAUACUGUGGCAUAAACUUGAGAUGCAUAAUUGUA